GAUGAACGCUGGCGGCGUGCCUAACACAUGCAAGUCGAGCGAUCUCUUCGGAGAGAGCGGCGGACGGGUGAGUAACGCGUGGGUAACCUGCCCUGUACACACGGAUAACAUACCGAAAGGUAUACUAAUACGGGAUAAUAUAUGAAAGUCACAUGGCUUUUGUAUCAAAGCUCCGGCGGUACAGGAUGGACCCGCGUCUGAUUAGCUAGUUGGUAAGGUAAUGGCUUACCAAGGCAACGAUCAGUAGCCGACCUGAGAGGGUGAUGGGACACACUGGAACUGAGACACGGUCCAGGCUCCUACGGGAGGCAGCAGUGGGGAAUAUUGCACAAUGGGCGAAAGCCUGAUGCAGCAACGCCGCGUGAGCGAUGAAGGCCUUCGGGUCGUAAAGCUCUGUCCUCAAGGAAGAUAAUGACGGUACUUGAGGAGGAAGCCCCGGCUAACUACGUGCCAGCCGCCGCGGUAA
RNAcentral lists this ribosomal RNA (466 nucleotides) under uncultured bacterium. RNAcentral's name for it is "partial 16S ribosomal RNA". It matches the Rfam family "Bacterial small subunit ribosomal RNA", at positions 28 to 523 of the family's 1533-position model. The record is from RNAcentral.